Long non-coding RNA from Gadus chalcogrammus (walleye pollock), 192 nucleotides. RefSeq lists it as uncharacterized. Lineage: Eukaryota; Metazoa; Chordata; Actinopteri; Gadiformes; Gadidae. The record is from RefSeq and is a predicted model, not a curated record. The transcript is spliced from 4 exons.
AUCAAGACGGAGUAUUGCUUUUAAUCGAGCCGGCUACGAAUCCUCCAGUUUAUGCAAGUCCGGAGGCCGAUGAAAAUAUUGCCAUGGAUGGGUCUGAAAGAACUGAGACUGUGGUCGAGGAAGCGGCGGGUACAUCAGGGUCGCAAUAUCAGCAUUUGACUACUAAAGAAUUAUAUCGACUUCAUCUUCAGC